UAUUUUGUUAUUAGUUGAUGUUUGUUUAUUUUAUAUCUGCUUUUUUCCAGGAAAGAGUGAAGGCAGCAUAAUGUAUGAAUUUCUGAUCUGCCUGCAGGAGCAGUUCCACUGGAUUUCUUCUUCACCAAAUCCACUUGUUAAUGAUUGAUAUGUUAAUGAUUUGAUUAAUCCAUGGGGUUUGAUUCAUUUCCAUCAUCAUUUACAUUUCGUCAAGACAUGUUUUCAAGGAGAUACUUGAUGUCCUCCAAAUGCUCCGUUUCUCAGCGUGGGAAACUUUUAUUUUCCUUAAGUAAAGGAAAUCUGCACCUUGGAAGUCUGACUGACUGAUGGGAAGCUGAAAUCUAAGUGUGGAGAGGUUAAGUAAUCUCACUAGCCUUUUGCAAACUCUGGAGGAGCCCACUUCUUAGAUCUGUAACUUUUCCGUUAGGUACAUUUCCAUAAGAUACAUAAGUCUAUGUCAUUUCUAAAUAUAUAUGUAUACAUAUAUAUAUACACACACACAUAUUACUGAAUAUAAAUAUAUUUGCUAUAUACACUAAUACAUAUAUAUUACAUAUAUAUAUGCACAUAUGUAUAUAUUAGUGAACAGUAGCCACCUACCCCUAGCACACUAAGAAAAUGCUUCAAAGCUUCAAGCCCAAGGCACAGGGCCUGCUUGGCACCCACUGAAGAAGCUGAACCCAUGAGUGACCUUCUGAACCUCACAGUCAGGAUGUGACCUUCUGGGCAUUCUUUGUAGGGACAAGUUGAGUUGAGUUCAUGUACAGCAGAGUGGUUAGGCCAGAGCAGUUUUUUUGAGAUUAUUUGACACAGAACAUCAAAAAUUGGGAAUGCAUGGUGUUGACACAUGCACAACCUGAAAGUUGAUAGUGAAGUUUUAUUGGGGGCAAAAUUAAGACUUAAGCCCAGGAGAGAGCAUCUCAUGUAGCCCUGAGAAACUGAUCUAAGAGGAGGUGAAGGGGGAAGCUAGGAUACAAAGGAGUUUUUGCAACAAAGGGCAGGGAGCAGGAACAAAAGAAGCCUGGGCUCACUCAAAUCAUUCCUUUGAUAUGCAUCUCCUCCUCUGCUCUGGGGCUAGUAUCCUGAGUUUUCACAGCCCUUGGGGUUCACUGGCACUCACCCUUGAAAGUGACUGCAUUUGCAGAUGACCUUGACAUUCUUUGUUUUGUCCACUUAACUACAGCCUGGGCAGUGGUAUUUAAGACAACUCUGAAAUACCGCCCCAGAGAGGAAAGGGGGAAUGUCAGGAUAGCUGGGAUAAAGGUGAAGGGGGAGGGGCAUGCAGCCAUGCACCCAUUUCGCAGAAGUUUGCUGCUGGUCUCCUGAAGGUUAUUACCAGUCACAGACAUCAGUCCUCAUGAAGGACUUCAGAUAUGAGACCCAGAAUUGUGCUCAUAAAAAUCUUCUCCUAAAAAUAUCUAACUAUCUGAAGACCUGUUCUUCCAGUUUUCCCAGAGCAGAGUGUCUCAGUCCUGGUCUCCACCCUGAGCUCUGCUCAGAGGGUGCUGCGGGCAGGCAGCUGUAGUAGCUCACGAUUUAAUCCAUGUAGAGGCAGCGGAUGGCAAGUGGUGGCAAGUGCCAAACUCCAGUUCACACCGGUAAGAAAAUUGUUCUCUGCUUUCAUUUUCAUUUUCGAUUCUCUUUCAUUGCUUCCAGUUACACUGAGGGGAAAGUUUCCGCUUGGUGUGAGUAGGCAUUUAACACCCUUCUCAGCUCCUGCUAAGUUUCAUUGUCCUCCAAGAGUCAGCUUCAGGAUAAGAACCUCAGACAAGCAAGAGCUGCCAGCUCCAAUCUAAACAAGAUGUUCUGCUGCUGCUGUAUUUGGUUCUGCCUUUAACUUCUCUUUCUAUUAGGUGAUGCUAGUUGUCCAUUCGAAGUAGUGAUAUAAAGUUAUCUUGAAAAAGAAACGUUUUCAAGGGAGUUCCCAUUGUGGCUCAACGAGUUAAGAACCUGACAUAGUGUCCAUGGCACGCGGGUUCAAUUCCUGGCCUCACUCAAUGGGUUAAGGAUUCAGCAUUGCCACAAGGUAUGGUGUAGGGCUCGGAUACAGCUCAGAUCCAGUGUUGCUGUGGCUGUGGUGUAGGCCUGCAACUGCAGCUCUGAUUCAACCCUAGCCUGGGAACGUCCAUAUGCCUCAGGGGCACCCCUAAAAAAAAAAAUGCGUUCAAGUAUUUUUAAUUGAUUUAAAAAAAUAAACGUGUAGCUGAUAUAUUAAUGAUGACAUUUGGGGUAACAGGAGGAAAAAGGUAUAGGACCUUCAGUGAACGACAAGCAGCUAUUGUCCACAGGAAAAAAGCUGGUAUUAACCCCUGAAGAAAUGAGUCUAAGACUAAUACUUUUUUUAAAUUUUAAUAAAAUAUUAUAUUUAGACCAAUAUACCUAAAAUAUUAUCAGUAUUUUAAAUAUUUUACACUUAUAGGACACUGCAGUUCAGACUAAGCAUAUUUCAAGCGCUCAAGAGCCAUAUGUGGUAAGCAGCUACAUAUAGGACAGUGAGCAACAUGUCCAUAUCUAGUAAAAUCCAUGCUGUAUCUAAGAAAACCACUGCAAAUUUCUAGCUGGAGUUUGAACAAUAUUCAUUGCAACUUUGUUAUAGAAAUUUUAAAAAUGGAACAAUGCAAAUGUCCGCCAACCAGAGAAUGGGGAGACUAACACUUUUUUUUUUUUUUUUUGGCCAAGCCCACAGCACGUGGAAGUUCCCUGGCUCAGGGAUCAAACCUGUGCCAUAGCAGUGACCCCAGCCACAGCAGUGACAAAGCCAGAUCCUUAAUCUGCUGAACCACCAGGGAAUUCCAUGAGACUGAUUUUCUUUCUUUCUUUCUUUCUUUUUUUUUUCUUUUUAGGGCCAUACUUGUGGCAGGCAUAUGGAGGAUCCCAGGCUAGAGGUCGAAUGGGAUCUACAGCUGCCCUGCCUACACCACAGUCACAGCAACACAGGAUUUGAGCCAUGUCUGCAACCUACACCACAGUUCACAGCAAUGCCAGAUCCCCUACACACUGAGCAAGACCAGGGAUUGAACCCGCGUUCUCAUGGAUACUAGUUGGAUUCCUUUCCACUGCGCUAUGAUGGGCACUCUCGAGACUAAUAUUCUUAAUGGAAGACCAGAGGAGGUGAGGAAUGGCCGAUGACUGGUUUCCCACUGCUAAGCUGGAUAUGAUAAAAAACAUUAACUCGAUUAAUUCACAGAUUUUGAUUAAGAAGCAAAUGAGAAAUUGCAAGGGAAAGCCUGUUACAAACUAUAGAGUAUUAUACCCCUGUUAAGGGAUUAUCAUAAUAAAUGAGUGAUGACAGAGGGAUAAGAGAGGAUAAAAGGAAGUUACGUUAAAGGAAACUGGUUAAUUAGCAAGAACGAAAAUUCUGCCGUCACUAGAGCUGCAUGGGCCUGGGUCUUAGAAAGGCAGGAAGCAGCCCCGGUUGUGAUUUGUUCUCUAUGAAGGUAGGGUCAGAGGAAUAAACAAGUCAAAAUCAAACAAACAAAAGUGGUUUCUGUAGAAAGAUCCCAAACUACUUCAAUGAGAAGACCCACCAGGAGAGAAGAGAAGGCUGGUUAGACCCCCAGUCUGGGUGCAACUAUCCUAAAAGGGUAAAUACACCGCCACAAAUUGGGCUCUGUGCCCCCACUGCACACACACAUGCACUGUUGUCCAUCCACACGUGGUUGCAUCCUGCUAAGGCCUGGCACCAGCAGCAAGGCAGUGUGAGUCCAAUACACAGUCAGCCACUGAGUGGGCAGCUCCAGCUGUCCUGGAUGGAAGGGAAGAGAAGAGCUGAGUAAACCCCAGGAGGCAAUGAUGCCAUUGGCUCCCUUGGUGCUCAGCACACAGAGCCCAGAACAGUGCCCAACAGAGUGGGUGCCAGGAAGCAUGUGUUAAGCGAGUGAAAUGAAGAGGAAAAUAAGGGGAAGGGCAAGAGAGGAAGGGAGAGAAGAUCCAGGACCCAAAGAGCUCAGGUGGCAGAGGCUGGGGUGGCAUUUCAUAGCAGGCCUCCUGCUCCUCUGCCCAGAAGUGACAGGGAGGAGGCAGCACAGUGUUGCCAAGCUCAGGCCUUCAAGUCCAUGAGAAAUGACCAUUUCACUUUGACCACCUAUGAACACUAACUUCUCCAACCAUCGGUUUCAUGGGCACCGCAGGAAGGACCACACACCAACCUCACGGUUAUCUCUAGUAUUAAAUGAGAUAAAAUAUGUGCACAUGGUAGAUGAGGCAGCAGUGCAACUUCAAUUGUUACUGUUGUUGUUGUCAGUACGUAUCCUCUAGCAAAAUGCAGAAAUUAUUUUGAUUCUGUGAAAAGUGUGACAUGAUAUGGAUUUUCAUUCCAUAAACAGAGUCGUAUACUUUGCUUCCUAAUUAGACUGUAUCUGUCAUGUCUGUAAUUUCUGUGUAAUUAAAUUGAAAUUAAAUGUCAAUUUACUUUGAAUUACAGAGUAAUUCUAUGUAUACAUGCCACGCAAUCUGCAUUUUGUUAGGAGAUGACAACCAAAAAUAUCCUGACAGUCCCUCUGUAAUUACACAGUGAUCUGAUUAAGAUCAGCGUGACAAAAUACCUGCCAAGACCAGAAGGAGAGCAACCAUGAGCGGUGGAGGGGUCGGUAGAGGUUAGGUGCAGGAGAGGCAGGGAGAGCGUGAUCUCACCCAUGACCUUGCUGCUCCCCAGGGGCCCACGCAAGCCCGAUUCAAUGGCAAUCACUUUCGUAGGCAGUGGAA
This 4704-nucleotide long non-coding RNA is filed under the name Sus scrofa (pig). Its description in RNAcentral is "lncRNA (ENSSSCG00000058003.1)". Lineage: Eukaryota; Metazoa; Chordata; Mammalia; Artiodactyla; Suidae. The record is from RNAcentral.